Molecule: ribosomal RNA, 741 nt
Filed under: bacterium
Lineage: Bacteria
Description: bacterial SSU rRNA
Rfam family: Bacterial small subunit ribosomal RNA
Source: RNAcentral
GGCAAUGCGGCAGCCUUCCAUGCAGUCGACGGCAGCACGGGCUUUCGGCCUGGUGGCGAGUGGCGAACGGGUGAGUAAUACAUCGGAACGUGCCCUGUCGUGGGGGAUAACUAGUCGAAAGAUUAGCUAAUACCGCAUACGACCUGAGGGUGAAAGCGGGGGACCGUAAGGCCUCGCGCGACAGGAGCGGCCGAUGUCUGAUUAGCUAGUUGGUGGGGUAAAAGCCUACCAAGGCGACGAUCAGUAGCUGGUCUGAGAGGACGAUCAGCCACACUGGGACUGAGACACGGCCCAGACUCCUACGGGAGGCAGCAGUGGGGAAUUUUGGACAAUGGGGGCAACCCUGAUCCAGCAAUGCCGCGUGUGUGAAGAAGGCCUUCGGGUUGUAAAGCACUUUUGUCCGGAAAGAAAGCCUCUGCCCUAAUACGGUGGGGGGAUGACGGUACCGGAAGAAUAAGCACCGGCUAACUACGUGCCAGCAGCCGCGGUAAUACGUAGGGUGCGAGCGUUAAUCGGAAUUACUGGGCGUAAAGCGUGCGCAGGCGGUUUGAUAAGACAGGCGUGAAAUCCCCGAGCUUAACUUGGGAAUGGCGCUUGUGACUGUCAGGCUAGAGUAUGUCAGAGGGGGGUAGAAUUCCACGUGUAGCAGUGAAAUGCGUAGAGAUGUGGAGGAAUACCGAUGGCGAAGGCAGCCCCCUGGGACGUCACUGACGCUCAUGCACGAAAGCGUGGGGAGCAACA